AGUGAACGCUGGCGGUAGGCCUAACACAUGCAAGUCGAACGGCAGCACAGUAAGAGCUUGCUCUUACGGGUGGCGAGUGGCGGACGGGUGAGGAAUACAUCGGCAUCUACUUUUUCGUGGGGGAUAACGUAGGGAAACUUACGCUAAUACCGCAUACGACCUACGGGUGAAAGCAGGGGAUCUUCGGACCUUGCGCGAUUGAAUGAGCCGAUGUCGGAUUAGCUAGUUGGCGGGGUAAAGGCCCACCAAGGCGACGAUACGUAGCUGAUCUGAGAGGAUGAUCAGCCACACUGGAACUGAGACACGGUCCAGACUCCUACGGGAGGCAGCAGUGGGGAAUAUUGGACAAUGGGCGCAAGCCUGACCCAGCCAUGCCGCGUGAGUGAAGAAGGUCUUCGGGUUGUAAAGCCCUUUUAUUGGGAAAGAAAAGCAGCAUGUUAAUCCCCCGCUGUUCUGACGGUACCCAAAGAAUAAGCACCGGCUAACUUCGUG
This 492-nucleotide ribosomal RNA is filed under the name uncultured bacterium. RNAcentral describes it as "partial 16S ribosomal RNA". It matches the Rfam family "Bacterial small subunit ribosomal RNA", at positions 29 to 507 of the family's 1533-position model. The record is from RNAcentral.